RNAcentral lists this ribosomal RNA (446 nucleotides) under uncultured bacterium. Its description in RNAcentral is "partial 16S ribosomal RNA". It matches the Rfam family "Bacterial small subunit ribosomal RNA", at positions 338 to 795 of the family's 1533-position model. The record is from RNAcentral.
CCUACGGGUGGCUGCAGUCGAGAAUCAUUCACAAUGGGGGAAACCCUGAUGGUGCGACGCCGCGUGGGGGAAUGAAGGUCUUCGGAUUGUAAACCCCUGUCAUGUGGGAGCAAAUUAAAAAGUUAGUACCACAAGAGGAAGAGACGGCUAACUCUGUGCCAGCAGCCGCGGUAAUACAGAGGUCUCAAGCGUUGUUCGGAAUCACUGGGCGUAAAGCGUGCGUAGGCUGUUUCGUAAGUCGUGUGUGAAAGGCGCGGGUUGAACCCGCGGACGGCACCUGAUACUGCGAGGCCAGAGUGAUGGAGGGGGAAGCGGAAUUCUCGGUGUAGCAGUGAAAUGCGUAGAUAUCGAGAGGAACACUCGUGGCGAAGGCGGGUUCCUGGACAUUAACUGACGCUGAGGCACGAAGGCCAGGGGAGCGAAAGGGAUUAGAUACCCGUGUAGUC